GAUGAACGCUGGCGGCGUGCCUAACACAUGCAAGUCGAGCGAAGCAGUUUUAAGGAAGUUUUCGGAUGGAAUUAAGACUGACUGAGCGGCGGACGGGUGAGUAACGCGUGGGUAACCUGCCUCAUACAGGGGGAUAACAGUUAGAAAUGGCUGCUAAUACCGCAUAAGCACACAGCUUCGCAUGGAGCAGUGUGAAAAACUCCGGUGGUAUGAGAUGGACCCGCGUCUGAUUAGCUAGUUGGUAAGGUAACGGCUUACCAAGGCGACGAUCAGUAGCCGACCUGAGAGGGUGACCGGCCACAUUGGGACUGAGACACGGCCCAAACUCCUACGGGAGGCAGCAGUGGGGGAUAUUGCACAAUGGGGGAAACCCUGAUGCAGCGACGCCGCGUGAGUGAAGAAGUAUCUCGGUAUGUAAAGCUCUAUCAGCAGGGAAGAAAAUGACGGUAC
This 450-nucleotide ribosomal RNA is filed under the name uncultured bacterium. Its description in RNAcentral is "bacterial SSU rRNA". It matches the Rfam family "Bacterial small subunit ribosomal RNA", at positions 28 to 478 of the family's 1533-position model. The record is from RNAcentral.